This 470-nucleotide ribosomal RNA is filed under the name Trichonephila clavata. RNAcentral's name for it is "partial 28S ribosomal RNA". It matches the Rfam family "Eukaryotic large subunit ribosomal RNA", at positions 667 to 1118 of the family's 3401-position model. Lineage: Eukaryota; Metazoa; Arthropoda; Arachnida; Araneae; Nephilidae. The record is from RNAcentral.
CAAGGAGUCUUGCUCCUCGUGCGAGUUUAAAGGUACUCCACGAAGCCCAGAAGGCGCAGCGAAAGCGCUAKAUCGCGAUCCCUCCUGUACKAGAGGGGGGCGCAGCGACCGCCCGCUACCUUAAAKUAGUGAACGGACCGAGAGCACGAGGGCAGGGACCCGAUAGGUGGUGAAUUAUUCUCGGGCAGGACGAAGGCCGAGGAAACUCGGCUGGAGUUCCGAAGCGGUUCUGACGUGCAAAUCGAUCGUCCGACCCGAGUAUAGGGGCGAAAGACCAAUCGAACCACCUGGUAGCUGGUUCCCUCCGAAGUUUCCCUCAGGAUAGCUGUCGCUCUGUUGUAGCAGUCUCGCCGGGUAGAGAGAAUGAUUAGAGCGCCUCGGGGACGCCCGUGUCACUCGACCUCUUCUCAAACUACGAACGGACGAGAAAGGGAGCCUCUCCCGAUUCGGAGGCCUCCCGCGUAARGAUG